AAGAGACAGCGCCGCCGGCCGUGGGGAGCGGACGCAGUGAUUUGCUCCCCCUCGUGCAGCAACCCCCACACCCAGCACCAGGCCCCCAGAACUCUCCUUCCAGCUGAACUCCCUGGGAACAAGUCAGUUGGGCUGAUCACUGAACUCACAUUUCUGGACCUGAGGAGCCUGUUCCUCUCACGCCCUCACCUGGCUGAGCCGCAGUAGUUCUUCAGUGGCAAGCUUUAUGUCCUGACCCAGCUAAAGCUGCCAGUUGAAGAACUGUUGCCCUCUGCCCCUGGCUUCGAGGAGGAGGAGGAGCUGCUUUCCCCAUCAUCUGGAAGGUGACAGAAAUGGGCUGGGAAGGUCCGAACAGCAGGGUGGAUGAUACGUUUUGGGCAAGUUGGAGAGCCUUUGCCCAGAUUGGCCCAGCAAGGAGCGGUUUUAGAUUAGAGACACUGGCUGGAUUGAGGAGUAGAAGGCUCAAACAACCCAAGGUGGUAUGUGAUCCCCAGCUCAGGCCUGUGCAGACAGGAAAUUCUCCCCUGCAGCAAGUAGGGGAGGUGGGUUGUGGGAUG
This 557-nucleotide long non-coding RNA is filed under the name Homo sapiens (human). RNAcentral's name for it is "MIR22 host gene (ENSG00000282800.1)". The stretch from base 192 to 275 matches the Rfam family "mir-22 microRNA precursor family". The record is from RNAcentral. Lineage: Eukaryota; Metazoa; Chordata; Mammalia; Primates; Hominidae.